RNAcentral lists this non-coding RNA (25 nucleotides) under Drosophila melanogaster (fruit fly). The record is from RNAcentral. Lineage: Eukaryota; Metazoa; Arthropoda; Insecta; Diptera; Drosophilidae.
UUAUUCAAUGCCAAGGAAAACUCAG